Parasteatoda tepidariorum (common house spider) is the source of this 715-nucleotide non-coding RNA. Lineage: Eukaryota; Metazoa; Arthropoda; Arachnida; Araneae; Theridiidae. The record is from RefSeq and is a predicted model, not a curated record.
UUAUAGUUUUCAUUUUAUUAUCUUAAUUUUUUAAAAAUAUAAAUGGAUGAUGUUAUAUUUCUCUUGAUCAUCAACCCUUUGCUCAUUUGAUUUAAUAAAAAUGAGGAUUAUCAAUUUUUACAUUGCAGAAAUGUUAUGUGUGAAACUAUAGGACCGUUCACGAAUUGUGCUGAAAUUGAGGUAUUUUAUCUUUAUAUUUUUCAAUUUGUCAGUACCUGGUUUUCAGACUUCUGUGCGUUAGAUUUCCUUAUCUUAAAAGUUUAUUUGUGUGAUUUCCAGGGUUAUUUUCUUAUUUACCAUUUUUAAAAAAAUGCAAUAAUGAAUCAAAUAUUGAAUAAUUGAAAAUUGUAAAGUUCACUUUACAUUAUAAAUGGUCAGAUGAUUAUUACAUGUCUGUGUAAUAUAUAAACUUUUUACUGUAUAUUUAAACAAUGUUUUUUUUUUUAAUUUUAGAAAGGCUGAAACUGCUUUAAAUAAUGUUUCAAAGGAGAAUGCCGCUCCACCAGAAACAAAAGGAUCCAAAGUAAUUGCUCAGGUGGCAUAUGUAACUCUUAAAGAAUUUGAUGCUGUUCCUAAGUACAUGAAAGGGCGUCUUAAAUAUGAACAGAUAAAUAAAUUUGUUGAUGAAUUUAAUGCUGUUAUAACAAAGAAAUAUCAUUUGAUGAGACUGCCUCGAAAAGAAUUAAAACCCCAACAAAUGGAUGUCAUUAAAAAA